ACCGGCAGCUCAAGUGGUGGCCAUUUUUAUUGGGCCUAAAGCGUUCGUAGCCGGUUUGAUAAGUCUCUGGUGAAAUCCCGCAGCUUAACUGUGGGACUUGCUGGAGAAACUAUUAGACUUGAGGUCGGGAGAGGUUAGGGGAAUUCCCAGGGUAGUGGUGAAAUCCAAAAUGAGCCGGAAGUUCAGGAGUAGAGAAGGCGCAAAGACGGAACUAUCCUGACGGUGCGUAAUGCAAGUUAGGAAGCUGGGUCG
Molecule: ribosomal RNA, 252 nt
Filed under: uncultured prokaryote
Description: partial 16S rRNA
Rfam family: Archaeal small subunit ribosomal RNA
Source: RNAcentral